AUUAGUGGCGACGGGUGAGUAACACGUGGGCAAUCUGCCCUUCACUCUGGGACAAGCCCUGGAAACGGGGUCUAAUACCGGAUAUUACUCCUGCCUGCAUGGGCGGGGGUUGAAAGCUCCGGCGGUGAAGGAUGAGCCCGCGGCCUAUCAGCUUGUUGGUGGGGUAAUGGCCCACCAAGGCGACGACGGGUAGCCGGCCUGAGAGGGCGACCGGCCACACUGGGACUGAGACACGGCCCAGACUCCUACGGGAGGCAGCAGUGGGGAAUAUUGCACAAUGGGCGAAAGCCUGAUGCAGCGACGCCGCGUGAGGGAUGACGGCCUUCGGGUUGUAAACCUCUUUCAGCAGGGAAGAAGCGAAAGUGACGGUACCUGCAGAAGAAGCGCCGGCUAACUACGUGCCAGCAGCCGCGGUAAUACGUAGGGCGCAAGCGUUGUCCGGAAUUAUUGGGCGUAAAGAGCUCGUAGGCGGCUUGUCACGUCGGAUGUGAAAGCCCGAGGCUUAACCUCGGGUCUGCAUUCGAUACGGGCUAGCUAGAGUGUGGUAGGGGAGAUCGGAAUUCCUGGUGUAGCGGUGAAAUGCGCAGAUAUCAGGAGGAACACCGGUGGCGAAGGCGGAUCUCUGGGCCAUUACUGACGCUGAGGAGCGAAAGCGUGGGGAGCGAACAGGAUUAGAUACCCUGGUAGUCCACGCCCGUAAACGUUGGGAACUAGGUGUUGGGCGACAUUCCACGUCGUCGGUGCCGCAGCUAACGCAUUAAGUUCCCCGCCCUGGGGGAGUACGGCCGCACGCUAAACUCAAAGGAAUUGACGGG
Molecule: ribosomal RNA, 815 nt
Filed under: Streptomyces sp.
Lineage: Bacteria; Bacillati; Actinomycetota; Actinomycetes; Kitasatosporales; Streptomycetaceae
Description: bacterial SSU rRNA
Rfam family: Bacterial small subunit ribosomal RNA
Source: RNAcentral